GUAGGGAAUAUUGGGCAAUGGUCGGAAGACUGACCCAGCCAUGCCGCGUGCAGGAAGACGGCCCUCUGGGUUGUAAACUGCUUUUAUCUGGGAAGAAAAAGGCCAUGCGUGGCAAAUUGCCGGUACCAGAUGAUUAAGCACCGGCUAACUCCGUGCCAGCAGCCGCGGUAAUACGGAGGGUGCGAGCGUUGUCCGGAUUUAUUGGGUUUAAAGGGUGCGUAGGCGGCUGAUUAAGUCAGCGGUGAAAGACUUCGGCUUAACCGGAGCAGUGCCGUUGAUACUGGUUGGCUUGAGUGUCGGAGGGGUACAUGGAAUUGAUGGUGUAGCGGUGAAAUGCAUAGAUACCAUCAGGAACACCGAUAGCGAAGGCAUUGUACUGGCCGACAACUGACGCUGAUGCACGAAAGUGUGGGGAUCGAACAGGAUUAGAAACCCGGGUAGUCC
RNAcentral lists this ribosomal RNA (444 nucleotides) under uncultured bacterium. RNAcentral's name for it is "partial 16S ribosomal RNA". It matches the Rfam family "Bacterial small subunit ribosomal RNA", at positions 354 to 796 of the family's 1533-position model. The record is from RNAcentral.